GUCAUCAGAGAGCACUGAGACACUUUAUGUGUUAUGUAUGUUUUUUUUUUAAGUGGUGCAUAUUUCCCUCAGCGCUGCACUAUUCCCAUCAUAGAACAGACUCUGGUCCAUGUUGGUAGUAGUAGUAGUACAGGGGCUGAGGAACCAAUAGCACUGGGUCUCACCCCUGAGACCUGCUGCCAUCCUAACUUAGAAGCCAGGGAAGCGGGCAGCAUGCUGCAUGGUCACUGGCGUUUAGCAAUCACAAAGUCCCAUCAAAACAAAAUUGGUACCAAUAAAUACUACAGAUCACAGAGCAAAAAAAAAAGACCCUCAUACAUCCCCGUAUACGGAAAAUUAAAAAAAAAAGUUAUGGGGGUCAGAAGGACAAUUUUAAACAUAUUAAUUUUCGAACAAAAAGUUGUAAUAAUUUUAGAAAAGUAGUAAAAUAAAACAAAAACCUAUAUAAGUUGGUUUUAAUCGUAUGGACCUACAGAAUAAAGAUAAAGUGUGAUUUUUACUAAAAAGUGCCCUAUGUAGAAACAGAAGCCCUCAAAAGUUACAAAAUGGUGUGCGUUUUUUUCAGUUUCGCCCCACAAAUAAAAUCCCUGUGUCCUUAAGGGCUUAAACAAAAAUAGAGUAAAAUCCAUCCCAUAAUGUCCAGAUGUAUAAUCUAAGCCCAGAGCAGAUACAGGUUACUGAUGAUCUCCUUAUCGGUGUGUGGCUUGGCCACUGCUGGUGAUGUCACACAUGUGAUCUCAUAGAACCUGUUGGGGCCUAUAGAAAGGGCUGCGGCCCUGCACACAGUGUCAGUCUUUGCUGGCUUGGGCUUUGGGAGUGUUCAUCACUAUGGUUCUGCCAAUUGGGAAAAAGAGAAAGUAUGGUCAUGUGACUCCGAGCAUCCCGAAUAUGGGAGGGAGAAUGGCGCCGGCUUUACCAUCACAGCCGGCACCAGUGGCUUCAACAUCUCAGCCAGCCCCGGUGGCUUCAACAUCUCAGCCGGCCCCGGUGGCUUCAACAUCUCAGCCGGCUAUUCCAUCAAUGCCGGCUGCGGCUCCUACAUCUUACCCGGCUAUACCAUCUGCACCGGAGGACAUGGAGACUGAUGGAAGACAAUACCCAGAUGACGUCGACAUGUAUGAUGUGGAGCCGAAGAGGAGGCGGUUCUCCUACGACCCGGACGGGUCGUGCAUCAUGGAGGACGUCAGCUGCCCCAACUGGUUAUGGAAGUGGAGGAGAUAGGAAGCGAGAUCCAUAACCAACAUCAAUAACAUCUACUACAACAUCAAUAACAUCAACACCAUCUAUUGGGGACUCACUAGAGUUCCCCAAUAACAUCUAUAACAUCUGAGACUCCUAAAGACUCAUCCGAUGAGGAGACCUCGGUGUAGAAGAUACCACAUCUGAUACAGCCCCUUCAAGCCUCCCCGCAGAGAAGACAUCGCCAUGCUCUGACCUCACAACAUUUAAUAUGUUGGGAUAUUUAUAAUAAAACAUAUAUAUGUUUUUACCUUA
Hyla sarda is the source of this 1494-nucleotide long non-coding RNA. RefSeq lists it as uncharacterized. The transcript is spliced from 2 exons. The record is from RefSeq and is a predicted model, not a curated record. Lineage: Eukaryota; Metazoa; Chordata; Amphibia; Anura; Hylidae.